AACGGUAACAGGAUGUGCUUGCACAUCGCUGACGAGUGGCGGACGGGUGAGUAAUGCUUAGGGAUCUGCCUCUGUGUGGGGGAUAACUAUUGGAAACGAUAGCUAAUACCGCAUAAUGUUUACGGACCAAAGGGGGCGUUUGCUCCCGCGCAGAGAGGAACCUAAGUGAGAUUAGCUAGUUGGUAAGGUAAUGGCUUACCAAGGCGACGAUCUCUAGCUGUUCUGAGAGGAAGAUCAGCCACACUGGGACUGAGACACGGCCCAGACUCCUACGGGAGGCAGCAGUGGGGAAUAUUGCACAAUGGGGGGAACCCUGAUGCAGCCAUGCCGCGUGUGUGAAGAAGGCCUUCGGGUUGUAAAGCACUUUCAGUUGUGAGUGAAAGGUUAGUAGUUAAUACCUGCUAGCUGUGACGUUAGCAACAGAAGAAGCACCGGCUAACUCCGUGCCAGCAGCCGCGGUAAUACGGAGGGUGCGAGCGUUAAAUCGGAAUUACUGGGCGUAAAGCGCACGCAGAGCGGUUUGUUAAGCUAGAUGUGAAAGCCCCGAGCUC
This 551-nucleotide ribosomal RNA is filed under the name uncultured Alphaproteobacteria bacterium. RNAcentral describes it as "bacterial SSU rRNA". It matches the Rfam family "Bacterial small subunit ribosomal RNA", at positions 65 to 610 of the family's 1533-position model. Lineage: Bacteria; Pseudomonadati; Pseudomonadota; Alphaproteobacteria. The record is from RNAcentral.